Molecule: transfer RNA, 77 nt
Filed under: Gammaproteobacteria bacterium
Lineage: Bacteria; Pseudomonadati; Pseudomonadota; Gammaproteobacteria
Description: tRNA-Arg
Rfam family: tRNA
About the family: Transfer RNA (tRNA) molecules are approximately 80 nucleotides in length. Their secondary structure includes four short double-helical elements and three loops (D, anti-codon, and T loops).
Source: RNAcentral
GCGCUCGUAGCUCAGCUGGAUAGAGCGAACCCCUCCUAAGGGUUAGGCCGCAGGUUCGACUCCUGCCGGGCGCACCA